RNAcentral lists this non-coding RNA (29 nucleotides) under Bombyx mori (domestic silkworm). The record is from RNAcentral. Lineage: Eukaryota; Metazoa; Arthropoda; Insecta; Lepidoptera; Bombycidae. RNAcentral also lists the same sequence under 1 other name.
AGACCUUACAAAAAAAGAAUACCCAGUGC